UACGUAGGGGGCGAGCGUUGUCCGGAAUCAUUGGGCGGAAAGCGCGUGUAGGCGGCUCGAUAAGUCUGCUGUGAAAGUUCAGGGCUCAACCCUGAAAUGCCGGUGGAAACUGUCGAGCUAGAGUACGGAAGAGGUGAGUGGAAUUCCUGGUGUAGCGGUGAAAUGCGCAGAUAUCAGGAGGAACACCAAUGGCGAAGGCAGCUCACUGGGACGUUACUGACGCUGAGACGCGAAAGCGUGGGGAGCAAACAGG
Molecule: ribosomal RNA, 253 nt
Filed under: uncultured bacterium
Lineage: Bacteria
Description: partial 16S ribosomal RNA
Rfam family: Bacterial small subunit ribosomal RNA
Source: RNAcentral